CAGCAGCCACGGUAAUACGUAGGUGGCAAGCGUUAAUCGGAAUUACUGGGCGUAAAGCGUGCGCAGGCGGUUCUAUAAGACAGAUGUGAAAUCCCCGGGCUCAACCUGGGAACUGCAUUUGUGACUGUAGAGCUGGAGUGCGGCAGAGGGGGAUGGAAUUCCGCGUGUAGCAGUGAAAUGCGUAGAUAUGCGGAGGAACACCGAUGGCGAAGGCAAUCCCCUGGGCCUGCACUGACGCUCAUGCACGAAAGCGUGGGGAGCAAACAGGAUUAGAUACCCGUGUAGUCCCUGUCUCUUAUAC
RNAcentral lists this ribosomal RNA (301 nucleotides) under uncultured bacterium. RNAcentral describes it as "partial 16S ribosomal RNA". It matches the Rfam family "Bacterial small subunit ribosomal RNA", at positions 509 to 807 of the family's 1533-position model. The record is from RNAcentral.